Anthonomus grandis grandis is the source of this 883-nucleotide long non-coding RNA. RefSeq lists it as uncharacterized. The transcript is spliced from 3 exons. Lineage: Eukaryota; Metazoa; Arthropoda; Insecta; Coleoptera; Curculionidae. The record is from RefSeq and is a predicted model, not a curated record.
AAAAAAAAAGAAGACAAAGAGACUUUCACUUGUCAUUUCAAUGUCACUUUCCGGCCCACAAGCAUAAACGCCACCGGCAACGGAAGUUCCCAAAAUCCAAACAAAUGUUGGAAGAUAUUUUUAAGUCUCCGCAUCUUUCUUACUUUCCUAUAUGAAAAUAAAAUGUAAGUAUCACAAUUACACACAUACAAGUUUUUUUUUUUAAUUCAGUUUCAUAAUUACCAAUUUUUAGUGAAUAAUCCUGAAAUUUAUGAAAAUACAUACAUUUUAAGGUUAUGUCAUAAUGUUUUGAUUGUUAUAUUUGAUUUUGUUUUUGUUAUUUUAGUGGACUACACCAACAAAGGUUAUGUGUUUUGCACCAGAUUGAAAGCAUCAUAGCGAAAAACGGACCUGUCAUAUCUUUAAAUUUUCAAAAGAGCCCCUGGAAAAAGAAAAAUGAAUAUCUUUGCCAAGGAAUAGGUACUAAGGCAAAUGGAUAAAAAACCUUCAGUCCAUGCAUUGGUAUGUAAUUGUUGACAAAAAUACAAUGAAUGGCCUCACUACUUUUCCACAUGCAAAGAGUUUAACCAAGGAGAAAUUAAAGAAAUUGUCAAAAACCUAGGUAAAUACAGAAUUGCUUAGUACAAACAUAUCUAUACCCAGUACAAGUUCGUCCACUUCUUUGAAGCAUGGUACUUCAAACAGAAACACUGUCAACAAUUUUGUAGAAGGUGAGCCGGUGUCAAAUUCCAGUAAGGGUCAUGAUUUCAAUUUUGCACCAACAGCAGAGCUAAAAUUCAUUUUGCCGCAAAAAACUGGAGGAUGUGAAAGAAAAAAGUGUAGAAGUUAAAAUUAAGUUUUUCAUAUGAGCACAUAAAAAAUAAUCAUGACAAAGUUCAGUUGU